GACGAACGCUGGCGGCGUGCCUAAUACAUGCAAGUCGAGCGAACAGACUAGGGGUUUCUUCAGCACACGAUAGGGGAAGGCGUGUGAGACACACGUGGGUUAUCCACUUAACUGCCGGGGAAAACUGCGGGACUGCGGCUAAUAUACGGGAUAAUCGAUCGUUGGGGUUUGUGGUGUAAAGGAUGUUCUGGUGUGUGUUGAUCUCGCGCCGCAUCACCUAGUUGGUGCGGUAACGGCUUACAAAGGCAACGAUGGGUAGCCGACCUGAGAGGGUGUGCGGGCACACGGGAACUGAGACACGGUCCAGACUCCUACGGGAGGCAGCAGUAGCGAAUCUUCCGCAAUGGGCGAAAGCUUGACGGAGCAACGCCGCGUGAGUGAUGAAGGUCUUCGGAUCGUAAAACUCUGUCAGUAGGGAAGAACAAAUGUGUAAGUAACUAUGCACGUCUUGACGGUACCUAAUCAGAAAGCCACGGCUAACUACGUG
This 487-nucleotide ribosomal RNA is filed under the name uncultured bacterium. Its description in RNAcentral is "partial 16S ribosomal RNA". It matches the Rfam family "Bacterial small subunit ribosomal RNA", at positions 28 to 507 of the family's 1533-position model. The record is from RNAcentral.